GGCGGUGCUCUCGGGUGCGGCGGCUCUCCGGCGAGGUUCGUGUUUUGGUGAUUCAGCUCCGAUCAACCUGUAGAGAAAAGAAUGAUGAUCACGGUGAUAUAAAAAUUGCAUCAAACGGAGGCCUGGAAGGGCCUCAUCGGAGGCAAAAACCGAGGAGGGGCGCGGCGGCGCCGCUGGGUUUCGGCCGUGUUUUCCGGCCGUUUGACCGG
This 209-nucleotide long non-coding RNA is filed under the name Carica papaya (papaya). Its description in RNAcentral is "long non-coding RNA (CPAP_LNC014317)". Lineage: Eukaryota; Viridiplantae; Streptophyta; Magnoliopsida; Brassicales; Caricaceae. The record is from RNAcentral.